Molecule: ribosomal RNA, 490 nt
Filed under: uncultured bacterium
Lineage: Bacteria
Description: partial 16S ribosomal RNA
Rfam family: Bacterial small subunit ribosomal RNA
Source: RNAcentral
AUUGAACGCUGGCGGCAGGCCUAACACAUGCAAGUCGAACGGUAACAGGAAGACGCUUGCUUCUUUGCUGACGAGUGGCGGACGGGUGAGUAAUGUCUGGGAAACUGCCUGAUGGAGGGGGAUAACUACUGGAAACGGUAGCUAAUACCGCAUAACGUCGCAAGACCAAAGAGGGGGACCUUCGGGCCUCUUGCCAUCGGAUGUGCCCAGAUGGGAUUAGCUAGUAGGUGGGGUAACGGCUCACCUAGGCGACGAUCCCUAGCUGGUCUGAGAGGAUGACCAGCCACACUGGAACUGAGACACGGUCCAGACUCCUACGGGGGGCAGCAGUGGGGAAUAUUGCACAAUGGGCGCAAGCCUGAUGCAGCCAUGCCGCGUGUAUGAAGAAGGCCUUCGGGUUGUAAAGUACUUUCAGCGGGGAGGAAGGGAGUAAAGUUAAUACCUUUGCUCAUUGACGUUACCCGCAGAAGAAGCACCGGCUAACUCCGUG